RNAcentral lists this long non-coding RNA (289 nucleotides) under Medicago truncatula (barrel medic). Its description in RNAcentral is "long non-coding RNA (MTRU_LNC001107)". The record is from RNAcentral. Lineage: Eukaryota; Viridiplantae; Streptophyta; Magnoliopsida; Fabales; Fabaceae.
AUGCUCCAUUUAGGCUAAGCUCCAUUUACUCCAUUUAAGGUUUGGAUGCAAGACAUGUGGCAAAAAAAUAUCCAACGGUUGAGAUUUUAAAUUAAAAAACAAUAAAAGGUUGUUGCCAUAUGAGAGAAGAAGGGAACAUGAUUUGUUUGUUAUUAUUAUGUAUUUUUAUUAAACAAAUAUUUGGUUUUUAAUUUAAAAUCUUAACCGUUGGAUACUUUUUUGUCACAUGUCUUUCAUCCAAACCCUAAAUAGAGUAAAUGGAUCUUAGCCUAAAUGGAGCAUACCUGAA